CACAUUCCCUCCUUUCCAGGUGUUCAGCACCCCUGUCAGCUCAAGGGUAUCUCCCCCCGCCCAAAGAAGCCCACGGGCCAGGGGUCCCCAGCACUGCGCCUGCGGAGACCUCCGUCUGAAGUAGACGAUCGCGGUGGCCGGAAACCGCGUGUGCAUGUGAACUGACCCGGGGGAUGUAAUGAUGUGUGUCCUCCUUAGCGUAGUGGUGAGUAUCGCCGCCUGUCACGUGGGAGACCGGGAUUCCCCGGCGGGGAGGUGAUAGAGACCUUUUAGCUCCUCUGCGAAAAGGCCACCUCGGCACCGUCCCUUCUAGGACACUAGAGAGGUGCCCACGGUGUAAUCCCACGGUGUGCGUCACAGGGUUUCUGCACCGUAGGAAGACGUUCAGGCACUUUCAAGGUUGCGCUGACUCACAAGGGGGUGUGGAGCGAGGAUAGCCCGGUGUUCGGUAGCAUAACCUAGAACUUCCCUUUUCCACUGUAGGUAUAUUCCUAUUUCUGUUUCUUAUGAGCUGUCACAAUGUCAGCCAGCAGUUAUGGAGCUCUUACCACGUGGAGGCAGAACUCCUAGGCGCCCCACAGGUAGGCGCUGCUGGAGGCCAUUGCACACAGUGGACAGGUGAGCAGGCACACGGACUCCGCAACCCGCCUCGUCAAACCACAGCCAACUCCAGACGUCGGUUACCAAUGGGGACAGGGACCGGAUGACUUUAAAGGGUAUGUGUAUUCUAAAAAGCAAAAGAGAUUAAACUCGAAGAAAAGUCCAGCAGCAUACUGAAAAGUCAGCAUAAAAAGGAAUCCAGAGGCCCUGCCAGAUUUGCCAGAAAAGUUUUGUUCUGCAUUAGAAGUCUUUAUUAUUUUGUUAACCAUAUCUAUGUACUACUUCAGCAUGUGUAGAAAAUAUUUUAAAAACUUUGGCAAAAGAUUGAUAUCUUUAUUAUAGACAUAAUUUAUUGAAACCGUAAGAAAAAUCUUAAAAUGCCAAUAGAUCACAGUGAAUGAACUGUAAGGCAAUGAAUGAAUUUACAGAAGAGGAAAAUGUUAACAGAUGUUAAUAAAAUAUCUGUAAUAUUGUG
Molecule: long non-coding RNA, 1075 nt
Organism: Manis pentadactyla (Chinese pangolin)
Lineage: Eukaryota; Metazoa; Chordata; Mammalia; Pholidota; Manidae
Exons: 2
Source: RefSeq, a predicted model, not a curated record